CCCCUAAAAACCGACGUCCCAGUUCAGAUCGCAGGCUGCAACCCGCCUGCGUGAAGUCGGAAUUGCUAGUAAUCGCGGAUCAGCAUGCCGCGGUGAAUACGUUCCCGGGCCUUGUACACACCGCCCGUCACACCAUGGGAGCCGGUAACACCCGAAGUCAGUAGCCUGACCAGUUCUGGAGGGCGCUGCCGAAGGUGGGAUUGGUGACUGGGGUGAAGUCGUAACAAGGUAAC
RNAcentral lists this ribosomal RNA (233 nucleotides) under uncultured bacterium. RNAcentral's name for it is "partial 16S ribosomal RNA". It matches the Rfam family "Bacterial small subunit ribosomal RNA", at positions 1272 to 1500 of the family's 1533-position model. The record is from RNAcentral.